This 227-nucleotide long non-coding RNA is filed under the name Hordeum vulgare. RNAcentral's name for it is "long non-coding RNA (HVUL_LNC003463)". Lineage: Eukaryota; Viridiplantae; Streptophyta; Magnoliopsida; Poales; Poaceae. The record is from RNAcentral.
UGAUGGUAGUUUAGAUAUUGAGUUGUAAUGUGAAGACAAACUCGCUACUCGUGGUCUCGAGAGUUGUAUUGUUCUAACUUUGUUCGGUAUUUUGAAAUCGGAGACUAAUAUGAUGAAUUGUAUUCGGAGACUAAUCUUCUAUUGUAUUCGAUAAAUCUGAUGUUUAUAUGUUGUGUUGUUUAUAUUCUGUGCUGUAAUUUAUUUUGUAACCUGUGCAAAUAUCAGAA